UACGAGAGGCCCAAACGUUAUUCGGAUUUACUGGGCUUAAAGAGUUCGUAGGCGGUCUAGCAAGUGAGGUGUGAAAUCCCUUGGCUCAACCAAGGAAUUGCGCUUCAAACUGCUAGGCUCGAGGGAGAUAGAGGUGAGCAGAACUGAUGGUGGAGCGGUGAAAUGCGUUGAUAUCAUCAGGAAUACCAGAGGCGAAGGCGGCUCACUGGGUCUCUUCUGACGCUGAGGAACGAAAGCUAGGGGAGCAAACGGG
This 253-nucleotide ribosomal RNA is filed under the name uncultured prokaryote. RNAcentral describes it as "partial 16S ribosomal RNA". It matches the Rfam family "Bacterial small subunit ribosomal RNA", at positions 524 to 776 of the family's 1533-position model. The record is from RNAcentral.